RNAcentral lists this long non-coding RNA (2335 nucleotides) under Homo sapiens (human). RNAcentral describes it as "HSALNT0303086". Lineage: Eukaryota; Metazoa; Chordata; Mammalia; Primates; Hominidae. The record is from RNAcentral.
UGUUUAUCAAUUACCCAAUCUUGGGUAGUAUCUUCCAGUUAUAAAUUACCCAAUCUUGGGUAGCCCAUCUUCAGUGUGAAAAUGGCCUAAUAGAUUCAUCUUUCUAGCUAAGAUGCAAAUUCUCUGAAGGGAAGGAGUUAUUGCAAACAAACUUAAGCCAGUUUCAGUAUAUGCAAUGUUGGUUCUCUUUGGUGGAAACAGUAGUCACUGAAGAAGAUGUUGGAGGUGGGUGAGGUUCCAGGUGGGUGAGGUUUAUCUGCUUCCCACACCCUCCCUGUCCCAUGACAUUGAUGGGAAAUCUCACAUCAAAUUCUGCCACAUAUAUGAACAUUCACUAAAAAAGAACUUAUUAGCUAGUAAAUGAAAGACAGUUUAUAAAGUCUGAUCUUUAAGGGCCGUGAAACCCAAGCUCUCUACCCUUUGAAGUGCUUUGGCCACUGUCUUAUAUGAAAAGUUUAUCUGAGACAGAUAUGACAACAGUCUCAUAUGACAACAUUCUCUUAUGACAACAUAUGAGGGUAACACAUAUGUUACCCUCAUACGUGGCAUUGGGCAACCAGACAUCCUCCUAACAAGUGGCUAGAUGUAGGACCAGUUGGGAUCAAGUUUCUGAUGCCUUCCCUGAGGGUGCAGGCAGCAGGCCUUCCUAGAUUUCUCUAACCUAUUUAUGUGAGUGGUUCUGAACUAUUUUAGCCCCAUCCACGCAUCUCAAAUAUCUUCAGUUUCACCCAGUUAAGAGCCCACAUUCACUGUGCAGACUACUAGCUACUACUUGAAUUAAUAAAAACCCUUUCUGACAUUCACUAUGCUAAGCCAAACAUAAGGUACUGAUCAAGAUAUGGAUAUCAUUGGUGCUCACAGCAGCUGCCUUAACUUCCUAAUUGGAAUGGAGCUGACUAUGCCCUGAUUGUGUUCUUGGCAAGAGGUGCUGCCCUUGGAGUCAGAGCUUCUACCAAAUAGCACAAACUCAAUAUUUUCUGUCUAUGCUGAACUUUGUGAAGCUUCUCUGAAACUUUCCUGGAAGAUCCGGCAACACCAGGCCUUCUUUCUUGCAUGGUCACAGGAGAUGAGAGCAGAGUUGUCUAAACAAGGUACCCCUUUUCUGUGAACUUGAAUGCAGCCUCCCACAGGUUUGGACAAAAGAAUGGCAGGAAGAGGACAGGUGGAACAGGAUGGAGGAAAGAGGUAGCCCUCAUAGGUACGGGUGCAGAGCUCAGAGUGGCAAAGGAACAGCAGAAGUCUUGUUCUCCCAUGCCCCUGCCAAGUCCUGCUGCAACAAAAUGAUGAGCUUGGAACCGACUGCCAACUGCCACAAAGGGAACCCUUAUUACAGAGAGCUCCCUGAAACACCCGUGGAAACAGCAUGCAAAAGAUCUCUGCUCAUGCUUUGAAGAAUGCAGAAAACUUUCCUUGCCACCGUAUGUGGAGCAUCGCCCACAGAGAAGGGAAGGGGAAAACUCACACCCAUCUCCUCCCCUCCACCCCAAUCCUGGGCCCCAACUAAAACCUCAGCUUCUUUCCCUCAACCUAUCACAAGGGCCUCCCACCAGUCUUCCAUCAGUGAGGGUGGGCUUUUGCAAAUGCAAGCCUGCCCGAGCUACUUACUCUACUCUUUAAGAUAUUUUCACAAGCCCUUAUAGCUGGGGGGAAUAAAAUCCAGUGUACAGAAGUUCUAGUAGAGGCAGUGAAUACUAGUGAUUUAAAAGCAUCCUCAGAAAUCACAGGCAAUGCAAGAACCCCUGGAUAAACAUAAAAUGAGUUUCUCUAUAAUACUCAGAUGCCAGGCCUAGGGCCAGAGCCAAAGGAAUCCCACCUAGACUCUGGGGCCCUUGGUUUUGGGCCUGUUCCCCAGCUUCUUCUAUGCUGCAGCUCUUCCAUCUCCUCAGAAGAGAAGUGGUGGGGGUGAGGGGUGUCAGUUACCAAACGGCAAGUCCCUCCCUGAAGAAAGUGCUGUGGAAAGGGCAGCCCCAAACAGUGGGUUCCCCAGCCUGAGGGAGUAAAAAGGAUGGAGCAGCCCCAGGAAGGCUAAAGUGUGCAUUCCAAAAGUCUUGAACACCUAAGUUGUCAAUCAAAGCAGUUCAGCUGGCAGCCGAGAGACCAGCAGCAGAGGCAAACAAGAGUCCUGAAGGGUAGAGAGAGUCAGAGUCAGCAGAAGGAGGAUCAGGUCAACUCUGAAGAUGAAGUACAAAUGCCUAAGGCGUUUUGCCCUCCUUUGAAAAAUGUGUAAUUACACAAGUAAUGCAUGAAUAAAUUAUACUGAGAAAAUAUAUCACUUCAGGCCAACAUGCAGAAACCCCACCUCUACUAAAAAAAAAUACAAAAUUAGCCAGGCAUG